GCAGAAGAGAGCAAAUAGCCUAAAUGUGAUGGACUUUUUAGAAGAAGAAGCCUUUAAUCCUGACUACACAGAGGUAGACCGUAUUCUGGACUUGUCUGAGACAGCAUUAUCCCAACAACGGAAAAAGAAAUUAAGCACUACCUAGUUAAGUGGAAGGCGUUGCCUUAUGAAGAUUCCACAUGGGAAUUGGAAGACGAUGUGGAUCCUCUAAAAAUUGAGGCCUUCCUGAAUUACAAGGAUCCACCACCAAAAAAUGAAUGGAAACCAAAGAAGAGGCCGAAACCAUCUGAAUGGAAAAAAUUAGAAGAGUCUCCAAUUUAUAAAAAUAACAAUUCAUUAAGAGAAUACCAGUUGGAAGGCUUGAAUUGGUUGAAUUUUUCCUAUUAUAAUUCGCGUAAUUGUAUCCUUGCUGAUGAAAUGGGUCUUGGCAAGACCAUCCAAUCGCUGUCAUUUGUGGAUGCAUGUCAUAAAUUUGGCAUUCGUGGACCGUACCUGAUUAUUGCACCCUUAUCCACUAUUCCCAAUUGGCAGCGAGAGUUUGAAAAUUGGACAGACCUGAACAUCAUUGUUUACCAUGGAUCGCAAGCCAGUCGUAAUAUGAUCCUUGAAUAUCGAGAUGUAUUACAAGGAUGAGAA
Molecule: long non-coding RNA, 636 nt
Organism: Macrobrachium nipponense
Lineage: Eukaryota; Metazoa; Arthropoda; Malacostraca; Decapoda; Palaemonidae
Exons: 5
Source: RefSeq, a predicted model, not a curated record